CGAAACGCCUGGUCGGGGCUCUUGUCUCCUCCUGCGUAUUCACCUUUUUCAUGUUCAGUUCUGCAUCCGCUGUCUCGUUGGACAAGAGAGAAUUCCAGACUCACAGUCUGUGACAAUGGAUCAGUUAUGUGAACUGCCUGAGGAAGCAUCAAGGAGGAGGCAGAGAAGGAAGAGGCCAGAGCAAAGAUUUAUAGGCAGCAAUGUUCAAAGGCUACAAAGGGACCAUGAGGAGGCCAGCCUGUUUGGAAGAAAAAGCAAAGCACCAGCAUUCAGGAAAGAAAUAAGAAGAAAGAGAGAACUGUACCUUGAGGGAAUGAAGGUAACAAUUAUGGAAAAAAGAACCCUUGGCAGUGUUGUGAUGUUUCUUGGACACUGGAAUUGGUUAGCAAAUAUUUAAUCGGACUGAGUUUUUACCUAGAGUUUUUGCCCUUAACUCUAAACUGCCUGAAGGAUGAGAGCAUAGACAGGAUGAUCCCUAUAUCUCCUUGAAAGCUGUGUUUGACAAAGAAUGGUCUGAGACCACUCAUAUUAAAAUGAUCUGGGAUGUUUCAGUGGGAGACUUGCAUUCUUAACAAGUUGCCUGUAUCAAUCAUGGUCCAGUCAGAGAAAAUGCAAUGGAAGAGAGAUUUAAGGUAAACAAUCAGUUACUGUAUCAGUUUCCUUUGUGGGAUAACAAAACACCCUAAAAUAAGUAGUUUAGAAGAACAAUUUGUCUGCUAUUCCUUACCAGUCUACUGGCCAACUGGAUCAUUCUUCAGAUCUUGACUGGGCUCCCUCCUGUGUCUGUGGUAGGUGUCAGGACAGCUAGGUAGCUUGGAUUCUGGGAUUUGGCUGCUUAUUGGCCUGGGUACUUGGGUCCUCCUCCACGAGGGAGGCGGGUGCUCCUCCAGCCAGUUAGCCUAGGCUCAUUCACCUGGCAGCUCAGUGGGAUUCCAAAAGGAAGCAUGCAAAGGCUUCAGGUCUAGAAUCAGAACUGGCACAAAUUGCUUGCUUGCACUGCAAUUGGUUGACGAAAGGAAUAAGGCCAGCCCAGACUUGAGAUGGAGAAAUUGACUCCAUUUUUUGAUGGGGGCUUUAUGAUCAU
Molecule: long non-coding RNA, 1084 nt
Organism: Felis catus (domestic cat)
Lineage: Eukaryota; Metazoa; Chordata; Mammalia; Carnivora; Felidae
Exons: 3
Source: RefSeq, a predicted model, not a curated record